This is a long non-coding RNA of Ctenopharyngodon idella (grass carp), 435 nucleotides long. RefSeq lists it as uncharacterized. The record is from RefSeq and is a predicted model, not a curated record. NCBI's taxonomy places the organism in Eukaryota, Metazoa, Chordata, Actinopteri, Cypriniformes, Xenocyprididae. The transcript has 3 exons.
CUCUCUGUCUUUAAGGAUAUUCUCUCAAGUGUUACGUCUGCACAUCUGAUUUAAAUGGUUACUGUGACGCAAAAGAGGAAACAUGUCCAGCUGGAUCUUCUAAAUGUUCAAGCAUUACAGGGGAAAUAUCAUAUGGUUCCACUAAGGUGUCCUUCACAACUAAAGGGUGUGUAUCUGAGUGUGUACCAGGGUCCACACAGCUGCCAGGUGGAGGGACAGGGUCUGUCCACUGCUGUGACACUGACCUCUGCAAUGCAGCAGAUGGAGUGUAUAAGGGAAGCUUCCUCCUGCUCUUCUCUCCUCUGCUCUUCUACUUCCUGUUUCAGUGAGUCCAGAUUCUGCACUUCAGAUUCUACAGCGAAGACCAGCGAAUAUGAGACACAUUCUGAUGCAUUACUGUACUUUACUGAAUAAAGCUUGUUUGUUGCUCUACUA